GAUGAAGAACGUAGCGAAAUGCGAUACGUAAUGUGAAUUGCAGAUUUCAGUGAAUCAUCGAAUCUUUGAACGCACAUUGCGCCCGCUAGUAUUCUGGCGGGCAUGCCUGUUCGAGCGUCAUUUCAACCAUCAAGCCCCCGGCUUGCGUUGGAGCCCUGCGGCUGCCGCAGGCUCCCAAAUCCAGUGGCGGGCUCGUCGUCGUACCGAGUGCAGUAAACAUCCUCGCUCAGGGAACGUGACGGGUUCUUGCCGUGAAACCCCCCACAUAUCAAGGUUGACCUCGGAUCAGGUAGGAAUACCCGCUGAACUUAAGCAUAUCAAUAAGCGGAGG
RNAcentral lists this unclassified non-coding RNA (331 nucleotides) under soil metagenome. Its description in RNAcentral is "partial contains 5.8S ribosomal RNA, internal transcribed spacer 2, and large subunit ribosomal RNA". The stretch from base 1 to 120 matches the Rfam family "5.8S ribosomal RNA", at positions 35 to 154 of the family's 154-position model. The record is from RNAcentral.